AAAAAACAAAAAAAAAAGAGAGAGACACGCACAGAGAAAAGAUGAUGUGAAGCCACAACCCAGGGAGAAGGCUGCAUGAAGAUGGAGGCAGAGACUGCAGUGAUGCAUCUGUGAGUUAAGGAGUGCCAAAGAUCACCACAACCCCGGGGAGCUAGGAGGAGCAAGGAAGGGUCCUCUCCCAGAGCCUUCAGGGAGGGCAUGGCCCUGCCAACACCUUGAUUUUGGACUUCCAGCCUCUGGAACUAUGAGAGAAUAAAUUUCUAUUGUUUUAAGCUGCUCAGCUUGUGGUAAUUUGUUGCCGCAGCCCCAGGAAAUGAAUACAAGGGUAGAGAGAAGGUUUAACAAAGUCAUGUAUGUCACAAGGAACCAUAAAAAGGCCGAGACAAUGCUGAGCUCAGAUAAUGGCUUAUUCACUUCUAUUAUUUAUUUAUUUUUGAGACAGAGUCUGGAUCUGUCACCCAGGCUGGAGUGCAGUGGUACGAUCUUGGCUCACUGCAAUCUCCACCUCCCAGGAGAAUGGGGUAAACCCAGGAGGCGGAGCUUGCAGUGAGCUGAGAUCCGGCCACUGCACUCCAGCCUGGGCGACAGAGCGAGACUCUGUCUCAAAAAAAAAAAAAAAAAAAAAAAAGAAAUGUGAAGAUGCAAGAUUUGGGAGGGGCCAGGGGCAGAAUGAUAUGGUUUGGUUGUGUCCCCACCCAAAUCUCAUAUUGAAUUCCCAUGUGUUGUGGGAGGGACCCAGUCGGAGGUAAUUGAAUCAUGGCGGCAAGUCUUUCCUGUGCUGUUCUGGUGAUAGUGAAUAAGUCUCAUGAGAUCUGAUGGUUUUUAAAAGAGGAAUUCCCCCUACAAGCUCUCUCUCUUUGCCUGCCACCAUCCACGUAACAUGUGACUUGCUCCUCCUUGCCUUCUGCCAUGAUGGUGAGGCUUCCCCAGCCAUGUGGAACUGUAAGUCCAAUUAAACCUCUUUCUUUUGUAAAUUGCCCAGUUUUUAUCUUUAUCAGCAGCCUUAACACGGACUAAUACAGUUAGCUUCUAGAAUUUUUAUAAUUUUUGCAUUGUACAUUUAGAUGUAUGAUCCAUUUUCAGUUAGUAUUUGUGGAAGUAAGAUUUGUGUAUAGAUUCUUUUUUUUUUUUUUGCAUAUGCACGUCCAGUUGUUCCAGCAUCAUUAAAAGGCUAUUCUUUCUCCAUUGAAUUGCUUUGUUCUUUUGGUGUGGGUCUAUUUCUAGGCUCUUCAUUCUGUUCCAUUGAUCCAUGUGUCUGUUGUUUUGUCAGUUCCACGCUGUCUUGAUUUCUAUGGCUUUGUAGUAAGUCUUGGAGUCAGGGGUGUCAGUCCUCCAACUUUAUAGUCGUUUAGUGCUUUCAUUUUUGGAAGGUUAUUAAUUAUUGACUCAAUUUCUUUAAUAGAUAUAGGUUUAUCCAGAUUAUUGUUUCUUGUGUGAGUUUUGGCAGUUUAUAUCUUUCAAAGAAUUGGCCUAUUUCAUCUAGGUUAUCAAAUUUAUGGAAACAGUUGUUCGUGAUAUUCCUUUAUUAUCCUUUUAAUAUCCAUGGGAUCAGUAUUGAUGACCCCUCUUUAACUUCUGAAACAGUAGUCUUCCAUUGUUAGUGGCUCAAUUGCUGUAAACUUUAGUUAUCUGUGGUCAACAAGAGUCUAAAAAUAUUAAAUGGAAAAUUCCAGAAAUAAACAAUUCAUAAGUUUUAAAUUAUGAAUUUAUGCACCCUUUUUAGUAUCAUCAUGAAAUUUUGUGCUGUCCUGCUCCAUCCAGCCCAGGAUGUAAAUUAUCCGUUUUGUCCAAAUAUGCAUGCUGUGUAUGCCGCCUGCCUGUUAGUCAUCGACAUCAUCUGCUCCUGACAUGCUAUCAUCAACGUCAGCAUGGUUUGAUAAUCCAGGAUCAACUGAAGUAGAUGAUCCUCCUCCUGAUGUAUUGUGGCCUAACAAUAUAUGCCAAUGUUGAAAUGGCCACUGCAAAAUUAUAACUGAGGCAGUGAAAAGAGAUCUGACCUGGCCGGGUGCUGUGGCUCAUGCCUGUAAUCCCAGCACUCUGGGAGGCCGAGGUGAGGGAAUCACCUGAGGUCAGGGGUUCAAGACCAGCCUGGCCAACAUAGUGAAACCCCGUCUCUAGUAAAAAUACAAAAACUAGCUAGGCAUUGUGGUGCAUGCCGGUAGUCCCAGCUACUCAGAAGACUGAGGCAGGAGAAUCACUUGAACCAAGAAGGCUGAAGUUGCAGUGAGCUGAGAUCCUGCCACUGCACUCUAGCCUGGGUGACAAAGUGAGACUCCAUCUCAAAAAAAAAAAAAAGAAAGAGAUCUGACCUAACCAAUUCCAACUUACUUUUAACCUCCAAGCUAUCCUUGUUCAUUCCUGACCAUAGGACAAACUAUUAAUAACUUUAUUAAUAACUUUGGGAGGAACUUAGUUUACAGUUUAAAACAAAGAUGAUAACAGUCUUUUCCCAAAACAAAACCUCUUCUUGGCUGGGGACUAGACUGCCUUUGUAGAACUAACAAAUUAGCCAAAAGAUUAGAGAUUAUAGUUUAGGAGUCAUGCAGCUGGAGGUUACAAGAUUCUGACCCUCCCCAAAGAACUACUGGGGAAAUCAUCACCAUUGUAAAACCUAAGAUCACCUAAGAUCAGUGCUUGAGAUAUUUUGCAGAUCAGCUGGCACCACCCAGAUGGAUAAACUGACUCAUCUGAUCUUGCGGCCCCAACCCAGGAACUAACUCAGCGUAAGAGGACAGCUUUGGCUCUGUUUUUUUGUUUUUUUGUUUGUUUGUUUGUUUGAGACAGGGUCUCUCUCUGUCACCCAGGCUGGAGUACAGUGACACGAUCUUGGCUCACUGCUACCUCUACCUCCCAGGCUAAAGGGAUCCUCCUGCCUCAGCCUCUGGAGUAGCUGGGACUACAGGUGUGAGCCAACACGCCUGGCUAAUUUUUGUAUUGUUUGUAGAGAUGGGGUUUUGCCAUGUUACCUAAGCUGGUCUCAAACUUCUGAGCUCAAUCAAUCAGUCUGCCUCAGCCUUCA
RNAcentral lists this long non-coding RNA (3019 nucleotides) under Papio anubis (olive baboon). Its description in RNAcentral is "lncRNA (ENSPANG00000047341.1)". The record is from RNAcentral. Lineage: Eukaryota; Metazoa; Chordata; Mammalia; Primates; Cercopithecidae.